ACCUGGUUGAUCCUGCCAGU
This 20-nucleotide ribosomal RNA is filed under the name Xenopus tropicalis (tropical clawed frog). RNAcentral's name for it is "piRNA piR-xtr-2838294". Lineage: Eukaryota; Metazoa; Chordata; Amphibia; Anura; Pipidae. The record is from RNAcentral. RNAcentral also lists the same sequence under 2 other names.